CAGCAGCCGCGGGAAUACGGAGGGUGCAAGCGUUAUCCGGAUUUAUUGGGUUUAAAGGGUCCGUAGGCGGACUUAUAAGUCAGUGGUGAAAGCCUGUCGCUUAACGAUAGAACUGCCAUUGAUACUGUAAGUCUUGAGUAUAUUUGAGGUAGCUGGAAUAAGUAGUGUAGCGGUGAAAUGCAUAGAUAUUACUUAGAACACCAAUUGCGAAGGCAGGUUACCAAGAUAUAACUGACGCUGAGGGACGAAAGCGUGGGUAGCGAACAGGAUUAGAUACCCCCGUAGUCCCUGUCUCUUAUAC
RNAcentral lists this ribosomal RNA (301 nucleotides) under uncultured bacterium. RNAcentral's name for it is "partial 16S ribosomal RNA". It matches the Rfam family "Bacterial small subunit ribosomal RNA", at positions 509 to 807 of the family's 1533-position model. The record is from RNAcentral.